RNAcentral lists this ribosomal RNA (690 nucleotides) under Salmonella enterica subsp. enterica serovar Anatum. RNAcentral's name for it is "partial 23S ribosomal RNA". It matches the Rfam family "Bacterial large subunit ribosomal RNA", at positions 566 to 1190 of the family's 2925-position model. Lineage: Bacteria; Pseudomonadati; Pseudomonadota; Gammaproteobacteria; Enterobacterales; Enterobacteriaceae. The record is from RNAcentral.
UGGUGUUGAAGGCCCUGCAAAGCAGCAUCGCGGUGGCGGAGCGUCGUUUGCGACGCCCAACACACAAAACAAGCGGUGAGUGCUUUGGGGUGGGGUGACUGCGUACCUUUUGUAUAAUGGGUCAGCGACUUAUAUUCUGUAGCAAGGUUAACCGUAUAGGGGAGCCGUAGGGAAACCGAGUCUUAACCGGGCGUUAAGUUGCAGGGUAUAGACCCGAAACCCGGUGAUCUAGCCAUGGGCAGGUUGAAGGUUGGGUAACACUAACUGGAGGACCGAACCGACUAAUGUUGAAAAAUUAGCGGAUGACCUGUGGCUGGGGGUGAAAGGCCAAUCAAACCGGGAGAUAGCUGGUUCUCCCCGAAAGCUAUUUAGGUAGCGCCUCGUGAAUUCAUCUCCGGGGGUAGAGCACUGUUUCGGCUAGGGGGCCAUCCCGGCUUACCAACCCGAUGCAAACUGCGAAUACCGGAGAAUGUUAUCACGGGAGACACACGGCGGGUGCUAACGUCCGUCGUGAAGAGGGAAACAACCCAGACCGCCAGCUAAGGUCCCAAAGUCAUGGUUAAGUGGGAAACGAUGUGGGAAGGCCCAGACAGCCAGGAUGUUGGCUUAGAAGCAGCCAUCAUUUAAAGAAAGCGUAAUAGCUCACUGGUCGAGUCGGCCUGCGCGGAAGAUGUAACGGGGCUAAACCAU